Molecule: long non-coding RNA, 383 nt
Filed under: Homo sapiens (human)
Lineage: Eukaryota; Metazoa; Chordata; Mammalia; Primates; Hominidae
Description: HSALNT0308129
Source: RNAcentral
GGAAGGAGAUUGACUGUUAGUUUCUUAGGUGAGUGUUGGAGAUGCUGUUGAACUUUAAGCUUAAUUGGUCACCUGCUGUCCUUUGUUCUUUGAAAUAAUUGACAUUGAUCCUUGCUGUUCAGCCACAUUGACACUUAUAUCUUGGGAGUUCUAGGAUUGGACUAACAAAAGUGGAGGUUGUUACUUACACUGCAAAAGAAACAACCAGAGCUGUGUCACUCAGAAGGCUGAAAAGAAUCAGGCUGACAGCAUAAUGCAGUGAAGAUGGGUGAAGAGAGAUGUGUUUCAUCUGAAAUUUGAAGGGCUUUACAACUCUUCUCCUUUAACUAACUUACCAUCCUUUAACUAACUUACCACCCAAAAUGAAUUCUGUAGCCUUUGUC